This 468-nucleotide ribosomal RNA is filed under the name uncultured bacterium. Its description in RNAcentral is "partial 16S ribosomal RNA". It matches the Rfam family "Bacterial small subunit ribosomal RNA", at positions 28 to 507 of the family's 1533-position model. The record is from RNAcentral.
GACGAACGCUGGCGGCGUGCUUAACACAUGCAAGCCGAACGGAAAGGCCCUGCUUUUGUGGGGUGCUCGAGUGGCGAACGGGUGAGUAACACGUGAGUAACCUGCCCUUGACUUUGGGAUAACUUCAGGAAACUGGGGCUAAUACCGGAUAGGAGCUCCUGCCGCAUGGUGGGGGUUGGAAAGUUUCGGCGGUUGGGGAUGGACUCGCGGCUUAUCAGCUUGUUGGUGGGGUAGUGGCUUACCAAGGCUUUGGCGGGUAGCCGGCCUGAGAGGGUGACCGGCCACAUUGGGACUGAGAUACGGCCCAGACUCCUACGGGAGGCAGCAGUGGGGAAUAUUGCACAAUGGGCGGAAGCCUGAUGCAGCAACGCCGCGUGCGGGAUGACGGCCUUCGGGUUGUAAACCGCUUUCGCCUGUGACGAAGCGUGAGUGACGGUAAUGGGUAAAGAAGCACCGGCUAACUACGUG